Small nuclear RNA from Hyla sarda, 193 nucleotides. RefSeq annotates it as U2 spliceosomal RNA. Lineage: Eukaryota; Metazoa; Chordata; Amphibia; Anura; Hylidae. The record is from RefSeq and is a predicted model, not a curated record. The transcript has a single exon.
GUCGAUUCACGGAUUGUUGGCUCAGAUCAAGUGUAGUAUCUGUUAUCAGUUUAAUAUCUAUGUCCCCUAUCCGUGCACCUUGUAUUGAAUGGAUUUUUCAGAACGGGACAGAUUUUGAAGCUUGCGUCGCCCUUGGAGUGGUGACUGACAGGUCGGUUUCUGCAGGUACAUAUGCAGUUAUGCCGGAGGUUCA